RNAcentral lists this ribosomal RNA (1386 nucleotides) under uncultured organism. RNAcentral describes it as "bacterial SSU rRNA". It matches the Rfam family "Bacterial small subunit ribosomal RNA". The record is from RNAcentral.
CAAGUCGAACGAGAACCCUCGGAUUCGUCUGGGGGGGAGAGUGGCGAACUGGUGAGUAACACGUGGGUGACCUGCCCCGAAGACGGGGAUAACCGUUGGAAACGACGGCUAAUACCCGAUAUACUCGGUGAUUCGGUUCAUCGAGUAAAGGCUCCGGUGCUUAGUUGAUUGGCCUGCUUCCUAUCUGCUUAAUGGUGGUGUCCUGGCCCACCAAGGCGAAGACGGGUAGGGGGCGUGAGAGCGCGGCCCCCCACACUGGCACUGAGAUACGGGCCAGACUUCUACGGAAGGCAGCAGUCGGGGAUAUUGCACAAUCGGCGAAAGCCGGAUGCAGCGACGCCGCGUGGGCNAUGAAGGCCCUUCGGGUUGUACAGCCCUUUUAUGGGGGAAGAGACAAGGACGGUACCCCAAGAAUUAGCGUCGGCUAACUACGUGCCAGCAGCCGGGGAAAAACGUAGGACGCAGGCUUAAUCCGGAUUUACUGGGCGUAAAGAAGCGUUGAGGGCGGUCCCGAAGGUUGGGCGUGAAAGCCCCCGGGCUUACCUUGGGGAGGUCGGUCAAUAUUGGGGGACUUGAGGGCAGCAGAGGGGGGGCGGAAUUCCCCGGUGUAGCGGGUGAAAUGCGUAGAUAUCGGGAAGGGACACCAGUGGCGAAGGCGGCCUCCUGGGCUGUUUCUGACGCUGAAGGCGAAAGCUAGGGGAGCGAACGGGAUUAGAAACCCCGGUAGUCCUAGCCGUAAACGAUGGAUGCUGGGUGUGGGGGGUAUAAGAUCCCCUCCGUGCCGAAGCUAACGCGUUUAAGCAUCCCGCCUGGGGAUUACGGCCGCAAGGCUUAAACUCAAACGAAUCGACGGGGGCCCGCACAAGCAGCGGAGCGUGUGGUUUAAUUCGAUGCUACACGAAGAACCUUACCUGGGCUUGACAUGUAGGUAGUAGUGAAGCGAAAGCGGAACGACCCUUCGGGGAGCCUACACAGGUGCUGCAUGGCUGUCGUCAGUUCGUGCCGUGAGGUGUCGGGUUAAGUCCCGUAACGAACGCAACCCUUGCCCUUAGUUACAUGUGUCUAAGGGGACUGCCCGGGACAACUGGGAGGAAGGUGGGGAUGACGUCAAGUCAGCAUGGCCUUUAUGUCCAGGGCUACACACACGCUACAAUGGCCGGUACAAUGGGUCGCCAAGCCGUGAGGCGGAGCCAAUCCCCCAAAGCCGGUCUAAGUUCGGAUUGUGGGCUGCAACUCGCCCAUAUGAAGCUGGAGUUGCUAGUAACCGCGCGUCAGCAAUAGUGCGGUGAAUACGUUCCCGGGCCUUGUACACACCGCCCGUCACGUCAUGGAAGCUGGCAACACCUGAAGCCAGUGAGCUAACCCGCAAGGGGGGCAGCUGUCGAA